This is a long non-coding RNA of Folsomia candida, 851 nucleotides long. RefSeq lists it as uncharacterized. The transcript has 2 exons. NCBI's taxonomy places the organism in Eukaryota, Metazoa, Arthropoda, Collembola, Entomobryomorpha, Isotomidae. The record is from RefSeq and is a predicted model, not a curated record.
AUGUUUGGUAGCAUCAUGUGACCUUCUCUCAAGUGACUCAAGUACUUUGGAAUAGGAAGAAGUUCAACACUGUGAGCGCAAGAUGUAUAUCGUCCCAAGUGGCAUAAACAACUUAAUCCUCUGCGUAAAAAGGUACACUGCUUCAAAUGCUUUUCCAUUGCAUCCCCCUUCAAAACCACGGAACACCCGUUAGCUCUGUAAACACAUUUGAGCGUUGAGUUGAGGAUAAUCGACUCCACAGGAAAAUUACGUCCCUCGGAGAAAUUUGCCUUGCAAAGUGGGCAAUUGACCAAUUUUGAUUUACAAUUGAAACAAAUUAUGUGACCCCUGUCGCAGUGAUGGAUUGGAGGAAAGGGAACUUCCUUGCAGAUUGGACAUUCUAAGAUUGCAAGAAGCUCAGAUGCCUCGGCCAGUUCGUGAAUUUCGGAAAAUCUGCGAGUAUUAAGAAAACUGUGGUAAAACUUAAGCUUUAAAAUCUUAUUCAAAAUCUUGAAAAUGUUAUUGUCAAAAUAUUUGCAAUACCUGGACUCAGAUCCUUUGGAAGAUGUGGUCAGCAUUUAUAAUAUUUAUACUAUAAAUUUUAUAACUCAAAUUCAAAUAAUGUGAGUCAACCUCAACCUCUACUGAAUUACCCACGGUUAGAAAUAAUGCGAAUGUCGAUACAUGACGCUGACGCAUAAAAUGAGAAUGGACAGAUAAUCAUAUUUGACAAAUUGGUGAUAAGAUAGUACUGUCAGUCAAAUGUGAUACACAUUGCAUUGUGUGAAUAUGUGUGUGCAUUACUGCAGUAUUAAGUAGACCAUGAAAGUAUAAAUAAAGUUCGAUCUGAUCUAAUUAAUUGCACCACUAAA